CCGUUCUGUGGGCGCGGCGUGGAGUAGAGCUCCUGCAUGGCUAUUCCUCUCGCCGCGCGGGGCUCUUGGCUCCGGACCGACGCCCGCACUUUCUGCUCACCUUUGCCCUCUAUGCUGAGCUCUUAGAGGUCCCAGCUAUGCCAUCCCGGGCUUGCUGGAUCCGCUGUCUUCCAACUGCUCUUCAGGACCUGGCUCCUGGAGGGCGACACCACCCCCCAACCUAGAAAUUCCACUUUGACCUGUAAUGAAUCCUCCUCCAACGUUCCCAGCGUCGUCUUGGACCCUCUUUUAUUGCAAAAACUACAAAUGAAAUUGAUUAAGAAGGUUUGGGGCAGGAUGCUGACAUGAUAUGAUGUUCAUCUGAGUCCAGCUUUUGAAGAUAAAAAUCAAAACUUAGCCAUUUCCUUGAUCCUAACAAGGACUUGACAUGGACUAAUGAAUCUGGAACCAUCUUCAGCCUGUGAUCAGUCAUAAUCCAGAAGAAGCCAAGCAGACCAUCCAUCACUCUCUGGAGAGAGAGAUGCCCUCAUCUCCCACCUGCA
Lutra lutra (Eurasian river otter) is the source of this 542-nucleotide long non-coding RNA. RefSeq lists it as uncharacterized. The record is from RefSeq and is a predicted model, not a curated record. NCBI's taxonomy places the organism in Eukaryota, Metazoa, Chordata, Mammalia, Carnivora, Mustelidae. The transcript has 4 exons.